RNAcentral lists this long non-coding RNA (465 nucleotides) under Piliocolobus tephrosceles (Ugandan red Colobus). RNAcentral describes it as "lncRNA (ENSPTEG00000004509.1)". The record is from RNAcentral. Lineage: Eukaryota; Metazoa; Chordata; Mammalia; Primates; Cercopithecidae.
AGAAGCUGAUUUUUUUACCCUUUUUUUCCUUUAUCUUAUUUUAUUAAUCUCCCUUUUUUUAUUAAUUUUACCAUAUUUUAGCUCAACAUAAUUUAUUUUAUUUUGCUUAUUUGAUUACUCUGUUUUUAGCUAGUUAAAAAAAAAAUAAAUAAAUAAAAAUAAAAAUAAGGAAUAACCCUUACGUUUUAAUUUGAAAUGUUGAAAUGAGUAAUAUAUUAAAUCACUUCCGUGUUUUAAAGGUAGUUACUGAAGAUAAUCCGUUAGUGACAUUUAAUUUAUUUGUAGCUAGUACGAAAGAUAAUACGAAUAAUGAUGGAUCAUGUAGUGAAAUAUUAUGUGUUGCUGUACUUGAUAAUAUAAUUAAUGGAGAACAUUUAAGAAAAUUUAUGACUAACUUUGGAGAUGUCGUUUUUUUUUAAUAUUACUGAGAAUGAAAAUUUAUCAAUAAACUUAAAAAUAUUUGCA